Molecule: ribosomal RNA, 432 nt
Filed under: uncultured bacterium
Lineage: Bacteria
Description: partial 16S ribosomal RNA
Rfam family: Bacterial small subunit ribosomal RNA
Source: RNAcentral
GCGAACGCUGGCGGCAGGCCUAACACCUGCAAGUCGAACGAACUCUUCGGAGUUAGUGGCGGACGGGUGAGUAACACGUGGGAACGUGCCUUGUGGUUCGGAAUAACUCAGGGAAAGUUGUGCUAAUACCGAAUGUGCCCUUCGGGGGAAAGAUUUAUCGCCAUUAGAGCGGCCCGCGUCUGAUUAGCUAGUUGGUGAGGUAACGGCUCACCAAGGCGACGAUCAGUAGCUGGUCUGAGAGGAUGGCCAGCCACACUGGGACUGCGACACGGCCCAGACUCCUACAGGAGGCAGCAGUGGAGAAUGUUCCGCAAUGCGCGAAAGCCUGACGCCUCCAUGCCGCGUGAAUGAUGAAGGUCUUAGGAUUAUAAACUUCUUUCACCGGGUACGAUAAUAACGGUACCCGGACAAGAAGCCCCGGCUAACUUCGUA